UAUAUUAUAGUCAAUUAAUAUGACAUUAGGCUGCAAUUCUAAAAGAAUAUUUUUAUAUUAAUAUAU
Molecule: transfer RNA, 66 nt
Filed under: Phytosciara flavipes
Lineage: Eukaryota; Metazoa; Arthropoda; Insecta; Diptera; Sciaridae
Description: tRNA-Cys
Source: RNAcentral